RNAcentral lists this ribosomal RNA (294 nucleotides) under uncultured bacterium. Its description in RNAcentral is "partial 16S ribosomal RNA". It matches the Rfam family "Bacterial small subunit ribosomal RNA", at positions 775 to 1067 of the family's 1533-position model. The record is from RNAcentral.
GGAUUAGAUACCCUGGUAGUCCACGCCGUAAACGAUGAGAACUAGCCGACUGAAGAAUUUAUUCUUUGGGUGGCGAAGCUAACGCGUUAAGUUCUCCGCCUGGGGAGUACGGUCGCAAGACUAAAACUCAAAGGAAUUGACGGGGGCCCGCACAAGCGGUGGAGCAUGCGGUUUAAUUCGAUGCAACGCGAAAAACCUUACCUACCCUUGACAUGUCUAGAAUCUCUUGGCGACAAGAGAGUGCCUUCGGGAACUAGAACACAGGUGCUGCAUGGCUGUCGUCAGCUCGUGUUG